UACAGGGGGGGCAAGCGUUGUUCGGAAUUACUGGGCGUAAAGGGCUCGUAGGUGGCCAACUAAGUCAGACGUGAAAUCCCUCAGCUUAACUGGGGAACUGCGUCUGAUACUGGAUGGCUUGAGUUUGGGAGAGGGAUGCGGAAUUCCAGGUGUAGCGGUGAAAUGCGUAGAUAUCUGGAGGAACACCGGUGGCGAAGGCGGCAUCCUGGACCAAUACUGACACUGAGGAGCGAAAGCCAGGGGAGCAAACAGG
This 253-nucleotide ribosomal RNA is filed under the name uncultured bacterium. RNAcentral's name for it is "partial 16S ribosomal RNA". It matches the Rfam family "Bacterial small subunit ribosomal RNA", at positions 524 to 776 of the family's 1533-position model. The record is from RNAcentral.